GUCAUAUAUCAUAACAAAACAAAACUUUCAACAACGGAUCUCUUGGCUCUCGCAUCGAUGAAGAACGCAGCGAAAUGCGAUAAGUAAUGUGAAUUGCAGAAUUCAGUGAAUCAUCGAAUCUUUGAACGCACCUUGCGCCCUCUGGUAUUCCGGAGGGCAUGCCUGUUUGAGUGUCAUGUAGACUCAAUCCCUCGGGUUUCCGAGGAGAUUGGACUUGGGUGUUGCCGCUCUGCCGGCUCGCCUUAAAAGACUUAGCGGGAUAGCACCGUAGUCGGCGUAAUAAGUUUCGUCGGUGAAGGUUGUGAUGACUGCUUACAAUCGCCCUCGGGCAAUUUUUGACUCUGACCUCAAAUCAGGUAGGACUACCCGCUGAACUUAAGCAUAUCAAUAAGCGGAGGA
This 399-nucleotide ribosomal RNA is filed under the name uncultured fungus. RNAcentral describes it as "eukaryotic LSU rRNA". The stretch from base 23 to 176 matches the Rfam family "5.8S ribosomal RNA". The record is from RNAcentral. Lineage: Eukaryota; Fungi.